RNAcentral lists this unclassified non-coding RNA (262 nucleotides) under plant metagenome. RNAcentral's name for it is "partial contains small subunit ribosomal RNA, internal transcribed spacer 1, and 5.8S ribosomal RNA". The record is from RNAcentral.
UCUCCGUUGGUGGACCAGCGGAGGGAUCAUUACCGAGUUUACAACUCCCAAACCCCUAUGUGAACGUUACCAAACUGUUGCCUCGGCGGGAAAUUCAUGCCCCGGGCGCGUCGCAGCCCCGGACCAAGGCGCCCGCCGGAGGACCAACCAAAACUCUUUUGUAUGUCCCUCGCGGACUUUUAUAAUUCUGAACCAUCUCGGCGCCCCUAGCGGGCGUUUCGAAAAUGAAUCAAAACUUUCAACAACGGAUCUCUUGGUUCUG